GGAAGCCCUGCAGGACCAUGGGGCGUUUACCAGAGGAGGGGGAACGGGGCCUAGAGAUGUUAGACAGAUGGAGAUUCUUUUAACUCACAGGCAUCUGUUUAACACCGCGGAGAAGGCUUAGAGGGGAUAAUGAUGACGACAGCUCAAACGUAACGUUUACUGGGGGCUUAGCACAUGUCUGUUACUGUUCUGUGUUCCGUAUCUCAUGUAAACCUCUCAACCACAGAUAGGGGAAUAACCCUAUUCCUAACCACUGAAUGCUCGAGGGUCCCUGAAAGAGAAGAUCCACACAAAAAGAUGAGGCUUCCACUCCCUGCGAGGGAUACAAGUGAGAGGGUUGACCACGGCACACCAAGCAAGAAAACGCCGGGCUCAAAACUCACAGAAUGGAUAUCAGAGGUUUGGAAGAGAGCCUCAGGGAUAGCAGCAGAGCACUCUUUCCAAAAAUACUGCCAUGGCAUUGAUAGCACAGACAACAAUAUUACAUGGAAAACCACAGGCAUCAAUGACCAAGUCGUAAAUUAUUCAAAACAGUCAGACUCUGAACGUGAGUACGUUCUAGGACUAAGUUACUCGGUUUAUUUCUCUUCUGUUUUUUUUUUUUUUUAGACACAUGAGUAAUAAAGAAUAAACUGUCUAACUACCUUCUUUUGAUAACAAUAAAAAUGCCAAGUGAUAAGAAAGUAUUAGGUCAAAGUUUAGCUGGCAGAAUUUUUCUUUCUCAAGUGAACAUAAAAUAAAGGUGCAUCUUACAAUCAGUGA
This 762-nucleotide long non-coding RNA is filed under the name Mustela putorius furo (domestic ferret). Its description in RNAcentral is "lncRNA (ENSMPUG00000028029.1)". Lineage: Eukaryota; Metazoa; Chordata; Mammalia; Carnivora; Mustelidae. The record is from RNAcentral.